Sander lucioperca (pikeperch) is the source of this 147-nucleotide long non-coding RNA. RefSeq lists it as uncharacterized. The transcript is spliced from 2 exons. The record is from RefSeq and is a predicted model, not a curated record. Lineage: Eukaryota; Metazoa; Chordata; Actinopteri; Perciformes; Percidae.
GCUAACGUCAAGAUCAUCUCAAUGGCACAGAGACACUGAGUGGAUAACGUAGCUAAUGCAGGACAUUUCCACGAUGAUUCACAUUCAGCUUUCACUUAAGGCAAGUUGGAAGAAAGGAGGAUACCAAGAUUAAGAAGAUCAAGGAGA